GUGCGAAAGCAUGGGGAGCAAACAGGAUUAGAUACCCCGGUAGUCCAUGCCGUAAACGAUGUCUACUAGCCGUUGGGGCCUUUGAGGCUUUAGUGGCGCAGCUAACGCGAUUAAGUAGACCGCCUGGGGAGUACGGUCGCAAGACUAAAACUCAAAUGAAUUGACGGGGGCCCGCACAAGCGGUGGAGCAUGUGGUUUAAUUCGAUGCAACGCGAAGAACCUUACCUGGUCUUGACAUAGUAAGAACUUUCCAGAGAUGGAUUGGUGCCUUCGGGAACUUACAUACAGGUGCUGCAUGGCUGCCGUCAGCUCGUGUCGUGAGAUGUUGGGUUAAGUCCCGCAACGAGCGCAACCCUUUUCCUUAUUUGCCAGCGGGUUAAGCCGGGAACUUUAAGGAUACUGCCAGUGACAAACUGGAGGAAGGCGGGGACGACGUCAAGUCAUCACGGCCCUUACGACCAGGGCUACACACGUGCUACAAUGGUCGGUACAAAGGGUUGCUACCUCGCGAGAGGAUGCUAAUCUCAAAAAGCCGAUCGUAGUCCGGAUUGGAGUCUGCAACUCGACUCCAUGAAGUCGGAAUCGCUAGUAAUCGCGGAUCAGAAUGCCGCGGUGAAUACGUUCCCGGGCCUUGUACACACCGCCCGUCACACCAUGGGAGUUUGUUGCACCAGAAGUAGGUAGUCUAACCGCAAGGAGGACGCUUACCACGGUGUGGCAGAUGACUGGGGUGAAGUCGUAACAAGGUA
Molecule: ribosomal RNA, 749 nt
Filed under: uncultured bacterium
Lineage: Bacteria
Description: bacterial SSU rRNA
Rfam family: Bacterial small subunit ribosomal RNA
Source: RNAcentral